RNAcentral lists this ribosomal RNA (494 nucleotides) under Enterococcus faecalis. RNAcentral describes it as "bacterial SSU rRNA". It matches the Rfam family "Bacterial small subunit ribosomal RNA", at positions 1039 to 1533 of the family's 1533-position model. The record is from RNAcentral. Lineage: Bacteria; Bacillati; Bacillota; Bacilli; Lactobacillales; Enterococcaceae.
UGGUGCAUGGUUGUCGUCAGCUCGUGUCGUGAGAUGUUGGGUUAAGUCCCGCAACGAGCGCAACCCUUAUUGUUAGUUGCCAUCAUUUAGUUGGGCACUCUAGCGAGACUGCCGGUGACAAACCGGAGGAAGGUGGGGAUGACGUCAAAUCAUCAUGCCCCUUAUGACCUGGGCUACACACGUGCUACAAUGGGAAGUACAACGAGUCGCUAGACCGCGAGGUCAUGCAAAUCUCUUAAAGCUUCUCUCAGUUCGGAUUGCAGGCUGCAACUCGCCUGCAUGAAGCCGGAAUCGCUAGUAAUCGCGGAUCAGCACGCCGCGGUGAAUACGUUCCCGGGCCUUGUACACACCGCCCGUCACACCACGAGAGUUUGUAACACCCGAAGUCGGUGAGGUAACCUUUUUGGAGCCAGCCGCCUAAGGUGGGAUAGAUGAUUGGGGUGAAGUCGUAACAAGGUAGCCGUAUCGGAAGGUGCGGCUGGAUCACCUCCUUU